Molecule: long non-coding RNA, 297 nt
Filed under: Nicotiana benthamiana
Lineage: Eukaryota; Viridiplantae; Streptophyta; Magnoliopsida; Solanales; Solanaceae
Description: long non-coding RNA (NBEN_LNC014820)
Source: RNAcentral
CCCUCAAUUCCUGAUUGUGGAGGAGUUUUGUCUGGUUUUGUGCAUAUUUAUGAGCACGAGAUCUCGAAAUUCCAUAAACAGGCUAGCCCCAUUUUUUUUCUCAAUUCUCUUUCUUUCAUGCAUUCCCCUUAUAUAUAUGUGUUUUUUUUUGUGUUGUCUGUGUGUGUGAGAGAGUGGAGUUCAGCUCGUUGGAUUUAAAAGGUAAUUAACCCCCACCCCCCUCACACACGUACACAGGGAAACAAGGAGAAAAAAAAGAUUUUUACGUUGUGAUUGGUGUUUUGAUAGAUGGGUGGG